Triticum urartu is the source of this 1552-nucleotide non-coding RNA. The record is from RefSeq and is a predicted model, not a curated record. NCBI's taxonomy places the organism in Eukaryota, Viridiplantae, Streptophyta, Magnoliopsida, Poales, Poaceae.
AUUGAUGAGAGAGCGAUAAAUAAGAAAAGAGUUCGUAACCCAUGGGAGAGGAAUCAAAAUCACAUGAUGUGUCUCAACUCUGCAAAGGCCAUUGGAUGUACUGUUGUCAACAUUGGCACGCAGGAUUUAGUGGAAGGAAGGUUUUGGGCCAUCAUAUUUCCCCGAGAAUCAAGGGAAAGGAAGAGGAAAGUAAAAUGUUGAUACAUGAUCUGUUGCAAGUGUUUACGUCGCGCAGAAACUUUAAUCUGUUGUGCAGAAUACAUUUCUUCAGAGAAACCGUUGGUUGUGUGCAGAAUAUAUUUCUUCAGAAAAUGUGUUAUUGUGCAGAAACUACAAUGAAGUUGUCGGGGAGAAGAUCCAGUGAACAAAGCUACAUUGAGUUGGGUCAAAGUGACUCGUACGUUUUCCUGAUCUGCAUCCUAUCUCAAUGUAUUUCUGUUAGUAAGCACAUUUUAAUUCUUUGAAGGCAUGUCGUAUAAUUAUCCAUAAUAAGGUAUUGUGGGUUUUGUACAUAUUCAGGUCCUUGAAACGGUCUAUUGUGCAUCGAAAGUCACGUUCAUCUCUGGGAAAUUUCACCGCAGCUUCCGUCGUACAUGUGCUUCGAUCUAUUUUCGUAUUCUUUUCUUGGAUGUUUGACAAAUGCUUCACAAACUAAGCUCAUGUUAAACAUGCACAACUAUGUAAGAUAGUUUCACCUCUCUUAUGUACUUGCAGAUUGACAUCCAUUGCCAAUUUAUAUUGUUUCUAAACUGAAAAAAUGAUGCCCUUGUUCACCGAUUAUCUAUGAACUGAGAUGAUGCCCUCAUGUACUACAUUGGUCUUUCAGAUGCUGGUUGUGCACACAUGGCAUUAUUAGCUUGUCCUUUUCUACUUUAUUUGUUUAGUUCAAUGAAAAUGGAACUACCGCCCGUAACUUUUAUGCACGUGCUACCUUCGAUUUUCAGUUCCUUAAUAUAUCUUGUUAAGCUUACCUGCAAAGGUUAUCAUAAACCAUAACUAUCUAACGUGUAUUGCACUCUGACCUGAUGUAGUAAUUCGCAAUAGCAGUGCCACGGUUCAGUUCAGCAUGGGGACCAACUACCUGUAUAAUGUCCACUCCUACUGGUCUUUCACCUGUCAAACAAGAAGACGUAGUGCACCUAGCUGCUGAAAAGGAGAUGACCGUGGUCCUCUUGACAACAAAGAUGAAGACGCAACAGACCAAGCCUUUGCGUUCUCCACUCGCAUGCACAAGGAGUUCCGCAAGAUGGCCAAUGUUGUUAAGAACCAGGUCACUAGCAACUACUACAUGGCUGACUUGACCAAACCCGCUCUUGCAAGACUUCAAUUUACCGCAACCUGGUAAAUGAUGAGUAUAAUGAAUGAAGCGCUCAGCAGACUGGUUGUGCGAGUAGGUUCGACAUUUGUACCCCAUGACUAUGUUUCCAUAAUUGAUUGGGACAUCCCCACUUUUCUUUAGAGAUGAAGGGAACAUUUGCACUCCCUCUAUGUCAUGCCUGCGACCAUGAUUACUCAUUAUACCCAUGUUCAUUUUUGGGUCAUGUUUUUGAAC